This 687-nucleotide ribosomal RNA is filed under the name Enterococcus hirae. Its description in RNAcentral is "bacterial SSU rRNA". It matches the Rfam family "Bacterial small subunit ribosomal RNA", at positions 12 to 670 of the family's 1533-position model. The record is from RNAcentral. Lineage: Bacteria; Bacillati; Bacillota; Bacilli; Lactobacillales; Enterococcaceae.
UUUGAUCCUGGCUCAGGACGAACGCUGGCGGCGUGCCUAAUACAUGCAAGUCGAACGCUUCUUUUUCCACCGGAGCUUGCUCCACCGGAAAAAGAGGAGUGGCGAACGGGUGAGUAACACGUGGGUAACCUGCCCAUCAGAAGGGGAUAACACUUGGAAACAGGUGCUAAUACCGUAUAACAAUCGAAACCGCAUGGUUUUGAUUUGAAAGGCGCUUUCGGGUGUCGCUGAUGGAUGGACCCGCGGUGCAUUAGCUAGUUGGUGAGGUAACGGCUCACCAAGGCCACGAUGCAUAGCCGACCUGAGAGGGUGAUCGGCCACAUUGGGACUGAGACACGGCCCAAACUCCUACGGGAGGCAGCAGUAGGGAAUCUUCGGCAAUGGACGAAAGUCUGACCGAGCAACGCCGCGUGAGUGAAGAAGGUUUUCGGAUCGUAAAACUCUGUUGUUAGAGAAGAACAAGGAUGAGAGUAACUGUUCAUCCCUUGACGGUAUCUAACCAGAAAGCCACGGCUAACUACGUGCCAGCAGCCGCGGUAAUACGUAGGUGGCAAGCGUUGUCCGGAUUUAUUGGGCGUAAAGCGAGCGCAGGCGGUUUCUUAAGUCUGAUGUGAAAGCCCCCGGCUCAACCGGGGAGGGUCAUUGGAAACUGGGAGACUUGAGUGCAGAAGAGGAGAGUGGAAUUCC